RNAcentral lists this ribosomal RNA (504 nucleotides) under uncultured bacterium. RNAcentral describes it as "bacterial SSU rRNA". It matches the Rfam family "Bacterial small subunit ribosomal RNA", at positions 8 to 526 of the family's 1533-position model. The record is from RNAcentral.
AGAGUUUGAUCAUGGCUCAGAAUCAACGCUGGCGGCGUGCCUCAGACAUGCAAGUCGAACGAUUAAAGCUCCCUUCGGGGAGUGCAUAGAGUGGCGCACGGGUGAGUAACACGUAAGUAAUCUACCCUCGGGUGGGGAAUAACGUUCGGAAACGAACGCUAAUACCGCAUAAUGCAGCGGCACCGCAAGGUGACAGUUGUUAAAGAUUUAUUGCCUGGGGAGGAGCUUGCGGCAGAUUAGCUAGUUGGUAAGGUAACGGCUUACCAAGGCUACGAUCUGUAUCCGGUCUAAGAGGACGGUCGGACACACUGACACUGAAUAACGGGUCAGACUCCUACGGGAGGCAGCAGUCGGGAAUUUUGGGCAAUGGGCGAAAGCCUGACCCAGCAACGCCGCGUGAAGGAUGAAGUAUUUCGGUAUGUAAACUUCGAAAGAAUAGGAAGAAUAAAUGACGGUACUAUUUAUAAGCUCCGGCUAACUACGUGCCAGCAGCCGCGGUAAUAC